GAUGAACGCUAGCUACAGGCUUAACACAUGCAAGUCGAGGGGUAACGAGAGGAAAGCUUGCUUUCCUUGUCGACGACCGGCGCACGGGUGAGUAACGCGUAUCCAACCUGCCCCCAACUAGGGAAUAACCUUGCGAAAGUAAGACUAAUACCCUAUAAUUUCCUCAGAUGACAUCUGACGAGGAAUAAAGAUUUAUCGGUUGUGGAUGGGGAUGCGUCUGAUUAGCUUGUUGGCGGGGUAACGGCCAACCAAGGCAACGAUCAGUAGGGGUUUGGAGGGGAAGGUCACCAACAUUGGAACUGAGACACGGUCAAAACUCAUACGGGAGGCAGCAGUGGGGAAUAUUGGUCAAUGGGCGGAAGCCUGAGCCAGCCAAGUAGCGUGCAGGAUGACGGCCCUAUGGGUUGUAAACUGCUUUUAUACAGGAAUAAAGUUAGCCACGUGUGGUUAUUUGUAGGUACUGUAUGAAUAAGGACCGGCUAAUUCCGUGCCAGCCGCCGCCGUAA
RNAcentral lists this ribosomal RNA (506 nucleotides) under uncultured bacterium. Its description in RNAcentral is "partial 16S ribosomal RNA". It matches the Rfam family "Bacterial small subunit ribosomal RNA", at positions 28 to 523 of the family's 1533-position model. The record is from RNAcentral.